RNAcentral lists this long non-coding RNA (235 nucleotides) under Elaeis guineensis (African oil palm). RNAcentral describes it as "long non-coding RNA (EGUI_LNC013193)". The record is from RNAcentral. Lineage: Eukaryota; Viridiplantae; Streptophyta; Magnoliopsida; Arecales; Arecaceae.
AGGGCUCGUUUUAUAGGAUAUCCUAAAGAAUCCAUGGGAUACUAUUUCUAUCUUCCUAGGGAUCAUAAUGUGAUUGUGAGCUGUCAUGCCAUCUUCUUGACAAAAGAGUUCAUCCUAGAUGGAGACAGUGGGAGGAAGAUAUGAUUGAGCUCGAAGAGAAGGUCUCUGAAAAGUAUCGAGUCUAAAAAUUUAAAUCCAGUAGUGAGCCAAUAGAUGUAGUAUUUCUUCCACCUUG